RNA transcript from Vanessa atalanta (red admiral), 2081 nucleotides. It is a transcript of the gene named DCN1-like protein 5, with no coding region annotated. The record is from RefSeq and is a predicted model, not a curated record. NCBI's taxonomy places the organism in Eukaryota, Metazoa, Arthropoda, Insecta, Lepidoptera, Nymphalidae. The transcript is spliced from 10 exons.
UUCGUUUUGAGUUUUUCUCCUCUCUGCCGCUGUGUUUGCACUUUAAUUUUGUAAAAAAUAUUAUUAUUUGUUAUGAACGGUAUGUUUUAUGUGUUAUUAGGGCACUAAAAAUAUCGGUUACAUCUUUUUAUUUCAUAUAAUCUCGAUAUUAUUAGUGUUAUCAUCGAAUUAUAUCCAAGACAUCAAUACUGCUUAUGAUUUUAAAACACUUCGCUACUUGUUUUUUUAUGAAAUUUUUGUUAUAUUAAUCUCAGGUUAUUAUCGACCUGUCAAGUAGACAUUUUUUUCGUCAAGCUGUCUCCGCAAAUUCGCAAAAUAGGAGACGAAAAUCCUUUCAAGUUCUCUAGUUUUAUAACGAAUCUGCCACCUAUAGGUGGUAGAACAAUGCCGCGGUGCAGCAAGCGCACGCGCAGCGGCGCUCCCGCUGCAGAACUAUUGCCUGGCACUACCUCUCUUGAAGAUCACCAUCACCACAAACGUUCCAGAAAUACUAGUUCCAGAAGACAUUCCAAAUCAGAAGACACAAGUUUCAGUGUAAAAAAAUGCCUAACUUGGUUUAAAGAAUACACAACAGUUUCAGAACCAGAUGUUUUAGGACCAGAAGGCAUGGAAAAGUUUUGUGAAGAUCUCGGUGUUGAUCCAGAGAAUGUUGUGAUGCUAGUCAUUGCAUAUAAAAUGGGUGCCAAACAAAUGGGUUAUUUUACACAAGAAGAAUGGAUAAAAGGUUUAACAGAACUUCAAUGCGAUAAUGUGCACAAAUUACAAAACAAAUUAGAAUAUUUACGCAGUUUACUCAAUGACCCCUAUAUAUUUAAGGCAGUGUACAGAUAUUCAUAUGAUUUCGCGAGAGACAAGGACCAGCGCUCGCUGGACACGAGCACGGCGCGCGCGCUGCUGGGCGUGCUGCUGCCGCGCUGGGCGCUGCGGGCGGCGCUGGGCGACUUCCUGUCGCGCGAGCGCCGCUACCGCGUCGUCAACCGCGACCAGUGGUGCAACAUCCUCGAGUUCAGCCGCACCGUCGACGCGCAGCUCACCACCUACGACGCUGACGGCGCCUGGCCAGUAAUGUUAGACGAAUUUGUAGAAUGGCUACGAGCUGAGCGAGGUGGGGAUUCCUCAAUGCUGGCCAGCUGAGACUGUCCACCUGUCAAAGCCUCACAAGGGUCGGUCUGCCGGCGGCUCGACCGGCGACGUGGCCACGUUACACUUUAAUUAUAUACUUUGAGAAGAUCAGAGAUAUAUUAUACUGCUAUGAAUUCUAACUUAUGAAGGAAGAAUGGUUGGACCUUGAUAAUUUUGCAUUAUGCCAAGUCUCGACGCGCACUGGUCCACAUAGUGCCCAAUUAUAUUAUUUUGUCAACUUGUCUUGUAAAUACCCCCAAAACACGCCUUAAUAUUUUUAUAAUGAAUAAACAGACAUAAUCUGAAAGUGUAAUAAUAAUAGUUUUAUAUAUACAAGCAAUAAUAAAUUCUCACCUCAUUCCAAUUAAAAUAUAGUAUAUGGGAUAAAUGUUACAAGUCAAGUUGUCAAAGACUAAAUGCCAGUAUAAUUAAAAUAUUAAUUGUAGGUAAUCGAUAUGUGAUCGAUAUGAACUCGACUGAAAGCUUUCUACUUUUAAGUGUCGCUUACUUCGGAGACUAAUUUGCAUUUUUGUAUUUCGUCUAGUUCGCAAGCCUGUUUUAUAAGCGACAGUUUAAUUUAUAUGUAAAAAAAUUUUAGCGCCAUCCUUAUAAGGCGUUAAGUUACGAUUCUGUUAUUUCAGCCCCAAAUUAAGUAUAGGAAAUUGUACUCAUUCUAGUGUUUAAUUAAUUUAAGCGAUAUAACAGGCUUUUGAACUAUUCAAAGAUAAAACAAUGCUCUGAAUCAAGUUCCGAUGGACUAGAACAUCUAGUCUAAUACUUUAGGUUUAGGUGUAGAUAUGGUUUUUUUAUAAGACAUGUAGGUAGUAUUUUUCAAAUUCUCUAUGAUUGUAACGAAUACGGUGUUUCUGUAAGAAAGCGGUGUAUACAAAAAUUAUCUCAAACGUUUAGGCCCCUUGUACCGAAUGUCAUUGCAAGAGAAAUAAAUCAUUCAAAAAUUA